This 253-nucleotide ribosomal RNA is filed under the name uncultured bacterium. RNAcentral's name for it is "partial 16S ribosomal RNA". It matches the Rfam family "Bacterial small subunit ribosomal RNA", at positions 524 to 776 of the family's 1533-position model. The record is from RNAcentral.
UACGGAGGGUGCAAGCGUUAUCCGGAUUCACUGGGUUUAAAGGGUGCGUAGGUGGGUCUGUAAGUCAGUGGUGAAAUCUCCAUGCUUAACUUGGAAACUGCCGUUGAUACUAUAGACCUUGAAUGCUGUGGAGGUGAGCGGAAUAUGUCAUGUAGCGGUGAAAUGCUUAGAUAUGACAUAGAACACCAAUUGCGAAGGCAGCUCACUACCCAGAUAUUGACACUGAGGCACGAAAGCGUGGGGAUCAAACAGG